GAUGAACGCUGGCGGCGUGCUUAACACAUGCAAGUCGAACGAAGCAUUUGCGACAGAUUUUUUCGGAAUGAAGUUGCUUAUGACUGAGUGGCGGACGGGUGAGUAACGCGUGGGUAACCUGCCUUGUACUGGGGGAUAGCAGCUGGAAACGGCUGGUAAUACCGCAUAAGCGCACAAUGUUGCAUGACAUGGUGUGAAAAACUCCGGUGGUAUAAGAUGGACCCGCGUCUGAUUAGCUAGUUGGUGAGAUAACAGCCCACCAAGGCGACGAUCAGUAGCCGACCUGAGAGGGUGACCGGCCACAUUGGGACUGAGACACGGCCCAGACUCCUACGAGAGGCAGCAGUGGGGAAUAUUGCACAAUGGAGGAAACUCUGAUGCAGCGACGCCGCGUGAGUGAAGAAGUAAUUCGUUAUGUAAAGCUCUAUCAGCAGGGAAGAUAGUGACGGUACCUGACUAAGAAGCUCCGGCUAAAUACGU
Molecule: ribosomal RNA, 480 nt
Filed under: uncultured bacterium
Lineage: Bacteria
Description: partial 16S ribosomal RNA
Rfam family: Bacterial small subunit ribosomal RNA
Source: RNAcentral